AGAACGAACGCUGGCGGCAGGCUUAACACAUGCAAGUCGAGCGCCCCGCAAGGGGAGCGGCAGACGGGUGAGUAACGCGUGGGAAUCUACCUAUCUCUACGGAACAACUCCGGGAAACUGGAGCUAAUACCGUAUACGCCCUUCGGGGGAAAGAUUUAUCGGGGAUAGAUGAGCCCGCGUUGGAUUAGCUAGUUGGUGGGGUAAUGGCCUACCAAGGCGACGAUCCAUAGCUGGUCUGAGAGGAUGAUCAGCCACACUGGGACUGAGACACGGCCCAGACUCCUACGGGAGGCAGCAGUGGGGAAUCUUGCCCAAUGGGCGCAAGCCUGAGGCAGCAACGCCGCGUGCGGGAAGAGGCCCUCGGGUUGUAAACCGCUUUCAGCAGGAACGAAAUGACGGUACCUGCAGAAGAGGUGCGGCCAACUACGUGCCAGCAGCCGC
Molecule: ribosomal RNA, 441 nt
Filed under: uncultured bacterium
Lineage: Bacteria
Description: SSU rRNA
Rfam family: Bacterial small subunit ribosomal RNA
Source: RNAcentral